GACGAACGCUGGCGGCGUGCUUAACACAUGCAAGUCGAACGGAAAGGCCCUGCUUUUGUGGGGUGCUCGAGUGGCGAACGGGUGAGUAACACGUGAGUAACCUGCCCUUGACUUUGGGAUAACUUCAGGAAACUGGGGCUAAUACCGGAUAGGAGCUCCUGCUGCAUGGUGGGGGUUGGAAAGUUUCGGCGGUUGGGGAUGGACUCGCGGCUUAUCAGCUUGUUGGUGGGGUAGUGGCUUACCAAGGCUUUGACGGGUAGCCGGCCUGAGAGGGUGACCGGCCACAUUGGGACUGAGAUACGGCCCAGACUCCUGCGGGAGGCAGCGGUGGGGAAUAUUGCACAAUGGGCGGAAGCCUGAUGCAGCAACGCCGCGUGCGGGAUGACGGCCUUCGGGUUGUAAACCGCUUUCGCCUGUGACGAAGCGUGAGUGACGGUAAUGGGUAAAGAAGCACCGGCUAACUACGUG
RNAcentral lists this ribosomal RNA (468 nucleotides) under uncultured bacterium. RNAcentral's name for it is "partial 16S ribosomal RNA". It matches the Rfam family "Bacterial small subunit ribosomal RNA", at positions 28 to 507 of the family's 1533-position model. The record is from RNAcentral.